CAGUAGCCGCGGGAAAACGAGGGGGGCAAGCGUUGUUCGGAAUUAUUGGGCGUAAAGGGUGCGUAGGCGGUUUGGCAAGUUUGGUGUGAAAUCUUCGGGCUCAACUCGAAGUCUGCAUCGAAAACUGCCGGGCUUGAGUAUGGGAGAGGUGAGUGGAAUUCCGAGUGUAGAGGUGAAAUUCGUAGAUAUUCGGAGGAACACCAGUGGCGAAGGCGGCUCACUGGUCCAUUACUGACGCUGAGGUGCGAAAGCGUGGGGAGCAAACAGGAUUAGAGACCCCCGUAGUCCCUGUCUCUUAUAC
This 301-nucleotide ribosomal RNA is filed under the name uncultured bacterium. Its description in RNAcentral is "partial 16S ribosomal RNA". It matches the Rfam family "Bacterial small subunit ribosomal RNA", at positions 509 to 807 of the family's 1533-position model. The record is from RNAcentral.